RNAcentral lists this transfer RNA (58 nucleotides) under Hydrangea arborescens. RNAcentral describes it as "partial tRNA-Phe". The record is from RNAcentral. Lineage: Eukaryota; Viridiplantae; Streptophyta; Magnoliopsida; Cornales; Hydrangeaceae.
AUACAUGGGGAAUGGUCGGGAUAGCUCAGCUGGUAAAGCAAAGGACUGAAAAUCCUCG